This 1407-nucleotide long non-coding RNA is filed under the name Cricetulus griseus (Chinese hamster). RNAcentral's name for it is "lncRNA (ENSCGRG00000025567.1)". The record is from RNAcentral. Lineage: Eukaryota; Metazoa; Chordata; Mammalia; Rodentia; Cricetidae.
AUGUAUGUUUUCAAUUCUGUCGGCUAUGUCCUGAGAAUAGAUUUGCACAGUAAUAGGAUGUCUUGUAUGAUUCCUUCUCUGAAAAACUCCAAGAUGUUUUUUCAAAGUAGCUGCACCGGUUCCCAUCCAUCCAUCUAUCCCCCCUCCCCCCGGCCCCCAGUGUCUUUUUGUCUUCGUCAACACUUGCUACUUUCUUUUCUGUUAAAACCAGCCUUGUGGGCAUGGAUGGCAUCUUUCUUGCACUGUUCGGAGACUAGGAACUUUUAAAAACCGAGAUCCAUCUUUUGGAUGGAUCUGAGAGAUCCAAGGUUAAGAAGUGGACACCUGGUGAUUGUCUCCUGAUAUGUUAUUCGGUGGCAAAAGGCAGGAGUUGAAGGGCCAGGGACCACAUGUAAAAGUAUCAGUUGAACUCUAGCCUUCUUAUAAUAAGGGAAACUCAUUCAUGAAGGUGAAUGUGACCUCCCAUUAAGCUUCGCUUCUCAACAUUUACAUUGGGGGUUAAAUUUCCAACACAUACUUUUUUUAGAGCAACACACCCAAAUGAUAGCAGUAUCUCAUUUUCAUUUGCUUAACUUUGAUGACUUGUGAUAUGUAGCAAAGAGAAUGAAAAAAAUAAAGAUGAAAGGAGAGAAAUAGCUAGGCAGUGGUGGUACAUGCCUUUCUCUUGUUGAGACAGACUCAUAUAGACCAGGCUUCCCUUGAACUUGCUAUAUACCUGAGGAUGAUCUUGAGCUUCUGAUCCUCCUGCCUCUACCUCCAAAGCACUAGGGUUGUAGGCACACACUACCAUGGCCAGUUCAUGUGGAGCUUGGCAGCAUCCCCAGCACUUGGUGCCAGCUAGCAAGCACUCUGCCAACUGAGAUGCAUCACUAUUGCUGUCCUUUGUACUGUCUCAGUGAUGUUCUUUGGAACUCUGCUUUAUCAUGAAAAAUACCAUGUUAAAGUCUCCCAAAAGGUUCUACUGUGAAUAUUAAGAUGACCAUUUAUUUUUCUUCUAUUAAUAGAUUACAUUGAUUAACAUUUCAAAUGUUAAAUAAAUGCAUCACUAUUGCUGUCCUUUGUACUGUCUCAGUGAUGUUCUUUGGAACUCUGCUUUAUCAUGAAAAAUAUCAUGUUAAAGUCUCCCAAAAGGUUCUACUGUGAAUAUUAAGAUGACCAUGUGGUAUUUUUCUUCUAUUAAUAGAUUACAUUGAUUAACAUUUCAAAUGUUAAAUAAACCAGGCAUUCCAAAAAAAAUUCAUUUUGUUAUGGUGCCUUAACCUUUCUGUAUGGUAUUAGAUUUAUUUUGCUGGGAACUUUUGAAUGUGUAUUCAUAAGGGAUAUUGACCUGCUUUUCUUUUCUUUUUUUGUUUUGUUUUUGUUUUUGUUUUUGGAGACAGGGUUUCUCUCUGUAGCUUUGGAGGCUGU